AGCAAAGCCGUUGCGAGGAUCAAAUUGUGAACCAGGUCAGGUGGGGAACCAAGCAGCCUUAAACUCUUUGAUCCUGUGCGACGGUUUUUCCUUU
RNAcentral lists this signal recognition particle RNA (94 nucleotides) under Bacillota bacterium. Its description in RNAcentral is "signal recognition particle sRNA small type". It matches the Rfam family "Bacterial small signal recognition particle RNA". From Rfam's summary of the family: The signal recognition particle (SRP) is a universally conserved ribonucleoprotein involved in the co-translational targeting of proteins to membranes. Archaeal SRP consists of a 7S RNA and homologues of the eukaryotic SRP19 and SRP54 proteins. Lineage: Bacteria; Bacillati; Bacillota. The record is from RNAcentral.